UUUUUUAAAGAUAUAAAAACCAAGUUCAAUUGUUUUCAAAAAAGAUGCUACUGAGACGCAGCACUGGAGAUUUAUGAUUCUUAAGGAUUUUGAAAAGGGCAUAUUGGCUUCUUUCGCUGGUAGCAUACUCUAUUUUAAAUAGUGUGAUUGACUUUGCAUCUCUUCCUUGCGCGAUUGAGUUUGCAGUUCUGCAAGGCUUCAUGGUGAUAUUCGUGAGUUGAAAUUUCUGCCCGGAUGUUUUCUGUUCUAAGUUUUGAUUAAUUAUCUUGGAAUCCUUUUGUGUUGGUUGAUUCCUGGUUACUCCACCGUCAAAGGCAACUUAAAAUCAGACGGAACGAGCAAUCCUGCAAAGAAAUAGAUUAAAAAAUAGACCGAUGAUCAACUCUCACUCGUACAUAUUGCAGACAAUUGUUUUUGCCAACUCUUAGGUUAUUUAUCGUUCAUGAUUGUGAGGUUUGUAGAUUUUUUUGCUCUGGUUAGUGGUGUUGGAUUUUAUGUGCAAUAAUAAAAAGAUGAAAAAGAAAAACAAGAAUUUACGUGGUUUGGCGGUGUGCCUAUGUCCACUAGAGCGAAGCGGAGAUAAUUUUUAUUCAGUAGUGAAAAAUAGGGUUACAACAUAUUAUUUAUACUAAUCCUAACCUUGGCCCAUAUAAGACUUUAAGGCCCGUACAAGAAAUAACCCCGUUCCAGGACCUAUGUUCCAUUCUUUAUGAGCCACAUGAACAACAGUUAGACCACUCCUUGCCCUGGUUGGUUAGACCACACUUCCUUGCUGUGAUCCUAUGCACAUUACUAUUAUGCAGGUGACUUUGAACUAAUGUUCAUAAUUGCAUGUGGUUGAUUCCUUGUUUAUGAGCUUCAAAUUGAGGUUAUAUUGAUGAAUUUCAGGCUAGAUUUGAAAAGGCUGUUGCGGUUAUCUACAGAUUGAUCAGCUUGGAUUUGGUUCUUUAUUUGUUGUCGACAGCAGUAAGACAAUAACCAUACCGUUACAGUCUGUUUUUCAACUUAUUUGAUUUAUUUGCCUACGAAUUUCCUUGGCACAGUAAGGGUUUGAAUAGUGUUCCUUCUAGAAUCUGUGGUUUCUCUGGCCUUCAUUUUGAUAACUGAUUUCAUCAGUUCCAUUUGAGCACAUGCUUAGAUCCUCUACUCUGUAGUGUUUGCUUUUGGAGCCACAUUUCUCUUCUUUCUCCAGUUCAAAUAUAAUGAUAUGGAGAAGCUAUGAUAUUUUUGGGGCUGUCCACUUCGUUACAUGUGUUUCAUAUGAAAUACAUGUGGUGUUUCAGACUAUUCCACAAUUCCAAGUAUAACCAAGUAGCUCAUAUUUAAGGUAAUGUUGGGACUCCUUUUCAGACAACUGAUAACUAAUCAACUUUCUGUUACCUUGUCAUCUGAUAUAUUAUGGAGUUGAAUAUAGGUUAGCUAUGAACUGUUGGAAGCCACUCUUGAGGGGUAUCCUUGCAGUUGGAGUCCAGCUCUAUGCUGUAUUUUUUCACAGAUGCUGCACACGAAGUGUAGGAGGCUUGAAUCUUAUUUGGGCAUUUGGUAUUUAUUAAUCAGUGGUGCCUGUUGAAUUCAAAAUUUUCUUCCACCUUGUGUGUAGCCUUGAUGGAAUAUUUCAGUGUGUUGUUUUUCUUGUGUUGUACCUGAGUGCGCGUCUUAAGCUUUCCGUAUCGAAGAGGAAAGCUGCAAUCAGCUCUGAAAAUAUUAAGUGUCAGAAAUAUACAGAACAUGCACUAUUAGCUUGCUAAUAACAAUCAACACCUAUGACGAUAUGCUCGGUAUGGAUGGUUUUGACUCGCAAGUUCGAAGGAGCUCUCUCUCACUGUAAUCCACACUUUUCCCCGCACAGUCGAUUAUUGUUUGGCAGACGGACCAAAGGAUAUAUAAAUACAAGUUGACUAGGAGGCAUAUUCAGUACGCAAUAUUUUCCAUUUAACUAUUACUCUAAAAUUUUGCCUCAUACCCUAUUCAGUCUCUUUGAUUACCCU
Molecule: long non-coding RNA, 1988 nt
Filed under: Olea europaea subsp. europaea
Lineage: Eukaryota; Viridiplantae; Streptophyta; Magnoliopsida; Lamiales; Oleaceae
Source: RNAcentral